GUCCACGCCGUAAACGAUGAAUACUAGGUGUCGGGAGUCAAAUCUCGGUGCCGGCGCUAACGCAUUAAGUAUUCCGCCUGGGGAGUACGCUCGCAAGAGUGAAACUCAAAGGAAUUGACGGGACCCGCACAAGCAGCGGAGCAUGUGGUUUAAUUCGAAGCAACGCGAAGAACCUUACCAAAUCUUGACAUCCCAAUGAUCACAUUUUAAUCAAUGUUUCCCUUCGGGGCAUUGGAGACAGGUGGUGCAUGGUUGUCGU
RNAcentral lists this ribosomal RNA (259 nucleotides) under uncultured bacterium. Its description in RNAcentral is "partial 16S ribosomal RNA". It matches the Rfam family "Bacterial small subunit ribosomal RNA", at positions 793 to 1055 of the family's 1533-position model. The record is from RNAcentral.